GUCUAUGUCCUUAGCACCCUGAAUGUGCCCAAUCUCGUCGGAUCAUGGAAACUAAGCAGGGACGGGCCUGGUUAAUACUUGGAUGAAAGAAAUG
This 94-nucleotide ribosomal RNA is filed under the name Octodon degus (degu). The record is from RNAcentral. Lineage: Eukaryota; Metazoa; Chordata; Mammalia; Rodentia; Octodontidae.